Molecule: ribosomal RNA, 254 nt
Filed under: uncultured bacterium
Lineage: Bacteria
Description: partial 16S ribosomal RNA
Rfam family: Bacterial small subunit ribosomal RNA
Source: RNAcentral
UACGUAGGGGGCAAGCGUUGUUCGGAAUGACUGGGCGUAAAGGGUGCGUAGGCGGUGUAGCAAGUUAGAAGUGAAAUACCUAGAGCUUAACUCAGGUGCUGCUUCUAAAACUGCUAUACUUGAGUGCAGUAGAGGAAAGUGGAAUUCCUAGUGUAGCGGUGGAAUGCGUAGAUAUUAGGGGGAACAUCAGUGGCGAAGGCGACUUUCUGGACUGUAACUGACGCUGAGGCACGAAAGUGUGGGGAGCAAACAGG